GAUGAACGCUAGCGAUAGGCCUAACACAUGCAAGUCGAGGGGCAUCACAUGAGGCAGCAAUGCCGAUGGUGGCGACCGGCGCACGGGUGAGUAACACGUAUGCAACCUGCCUUCAACAAGGGGAUAACCCGUUGAAAAACGGACUAAUACCCUAUAAUACAGGGGUCCCGCAUGGGGAUAUUUGUUAAAGAUUGAUCGGUUGAAGAUGGGCAUGCGUUCCAUUAGCUGGUUGGUGAGGUAACGGCUCACCAAGGCAACGAUGGAUAGGGGAACUGAGAGGUUUAUCCCCCACACUGGUACUGAGACACGGACCAGACUCCUACGGGAGGCAGCAGUGAGGAAUAUUGGUCAAUGGACGCAAGUCUGAACCAGCCACGUCGCGUGAAGGAAGACGGCCCUACGGGUUGUAAACUUCUUUUAUACGGGAAUAAAGUGCACCACGCGUGGGGUUUUGCAUGUACCGUAUGAAUAAGGAUCGGCUAACUCCGUGCCAGCAGCCGA
RNAcentral lists this ribosomal RNA (501 nucleotides) under uncultured bacterium. RNAcentral's name for it is "bacterial SSU rRNA". It matches the Rfam family "Bacterial small subunit ribosomal RNA", at positions 28 to 518 of the family's 1533-position model. The record is from RNAcentral.